Molecule: ribosomal RNA, 561 nt
Filed under: uncultured Staphylococcus sp.
Lineage: Bacteria; Bacillati; Bacillota; Bacilli; Caryophanales; Staphylococcaceae
Description: bacterial SSU rRNA
Rfam family: Bacterial small subunit ribosomal RNA
Source: RNAcentral
ACGAGGAGCUUGCUCCUCUGAUGUUAGCGGCGGACGGGUGAGUAACACGUGGAUAACCUACCUAUAAGACUGGGAUAACUUCGGGAAACCGGAGCUAAUACCGGAUAACAUGUUGAACCGCAUGGUUCAACAGUGAAAGACGGUCUUGCUGUCACUUAUAGAUGGAUCCGCGCCGCAUUAGCUAGUUGGUAAGGUAACGGCUUACCAAGGCAACGAUGCGUAGCCGACCUGAGAGGGUGAUCGGCCACACUGGAACUGAGACACGGUCCAGACUCCUACGGGAGGCAGCAGUAGGGAAUCUUCCGCAAUGGGCGAAAGCCUGACGGAGCAACGCCGCGUGAGUGAAGAAGGUCUUCGGAUCGUAAAACUCUGUUAUUAGGGAAGAACAAAUGUGUAAGUAACUAUGCACGUCUUGACGGUACCUAAUCAGAAAGCCACGGCUAACUACGUGCCAGCAGCCGCGGUAAUACGUAGGUGGCAAGCGUUAUCCGGAAUUAUUGGGCGUAAAGCGCGCGUAGGCGGUUUUUUAAGUCUGAUGUGAAAGCCCACGGCUCAACCGUG